Molecule: non-coding RNA, 259 nt
Organism: Cinara cedri
Lineage: Eukaryota; Metazoa; Arthropoda; Insecta; Hemiptera; Aphididae
Source: the annotation of a GenBank genome assembly
GAUGUCGUGUUAUUACAUUGUAUAGUGUCGGAGAGUCAGAAUACGAUGGUUUUUCACACCGACGUCUGUACCGCGCCGUUCGGUAUAGACGAACAGAACAGAUGUACGUGACGAGCUGCUUAGCGUUUCCGAACCAAAUACCUAAAUAAUUGUUCCGAUGAUUCAGCGCGGUCACCAAUACGCGAUGUUCUGCGAUGGGACAGGGCGGCCUUGUUACGAAAAAGAAAAAUUCUAUUUUAUUCGCGUAAGUGCACGAGCC